This 1728-nucleotide long non-coding RNA is filed under the name Calidris pugnax (ruff). RNAcentral describes it as "lncRNA (ENSCPUG00000000989.1)". Lineage: Eukaryota; Metazoa; Chordata; Aves; Charadriiformes; Scolopacidae. The record is from RNAcentral.
AUGGCCCAGGGUUGUGGCUCCGAUCUCUCUGCUCUCGCUGCACCAUUCGGGGGGUGCACCGCUUCCUUCCGUGACUGCUAUGGGGUAGGGGGUACCUCUGCUCCUCCACCCAGCUCCUCAUCUGCUGGUGAGCCCCCAGCCUGGAGCACCACCCUGGGAGUGAUGCUCUCUGGGGGGAUGCUGCCUUCCCCAGCAUUUCCUGGGCUGCUACCUGCUCCCUGCUCCCCACAGCUCCCCUCUUCCAGCUCCUCUCUGGAGGUUUCAUCCUCCAUCUCCGGGGGCCCUUCGGCUGGCUCCAGCCCCUCGCCGGGGGGCUCUGGGGCUCCGCCUGGCUCCGCCUUGGCCAUGCUCCCUGUGCCAGGCUGCCCACUGGCUCCCUGCUCCAGCCCUGGCCCGAGCUCUUCUGCCUCCAUAUCCCCUGUUGCCCCACAUUGCCCUACAGCCAGCUUUUCCAUCUCUGCUGCUGGGCUCUCUUCUUCUUUCUCCUCCUCCACCUUCUCCUUCUCCCUCUCCUCUUUUUCUCCCCCCUCCACCUUCUCCUCCUCUUCUUCCUCCUCCUCUCUCUCUUGUUGUUCUUCCUCCUCCUCCCUCUCCUCUUCCUCUUCCCCUUCUUCUCCCUCCUCCCCUCCUUCUUCCUCCUCCUCCUCCCUCUCCUCUUUUUCUUCCUCCUCCACCUUCUCCUCCUCUUCUUCCUCCUCCUCUUUCUCUUCUUUUUCUUCUUCCUCCUCCUUCCUCUCCUCUUUCUCUUCUCCCUCCACGUGUUCCUCUUCCCCCUCCACGUGUUCCUCUUCCACCUUCUCUCCCCCUUCCCCUUCUUCCCCUUCUUCCUCCACCUUCUCUCCCUCUUCCCCUUCCUCUUCCCCCUCCUCCUCCUCCUCCUCCUUCUCCCUCUCCUCUUUUUCUCCCCCCUCCACCUUCUCCUCCUCUUCUUCCUCCUCCUCUCUCUCUUGUUGUUCUUCCUCCUCCUCCCUCUCCUCUUCCUCUUCCCCUUCUUCUCCCUCCUCCCCUCCUUCUUCCUCCUCCUCCUCCCUCUCCUCUUUUUCUUCCCUCUCCACCUUCUCCUCCUCUUCUUCCUCCUCCUCUCUCUCUUUUUCUUCUUCCUCCUCCUCCCUCUCCUCUUCCUCUUCCCCUUCUUCUUCCUCCUCCCCCUCCUCCUCUUUCUUGUCUUCCUCCUCUGCCCCUAUCUCUGCUCCCCCCUCCUCCACCUUCUCCUCCUCUUCUUCCUCCUCCUCUCUCUCUUUUUCUUCUUCCCCCUCCUCCUCCUCCUCCUCCUCUUUAUCAUCUUCCUCCUCUGCCCCUAUCUCUGCUCCCCUGCUCUCUGGCUUUGCUCCACAGGUGCCCAGGUUUGCUUCUUCCCCCAAUUCUGUCCCAUCCCUCCCUUCCACCUCUGCUGGCUGCUCCUGGGCUGCUUCUCCUCCUGGUGCUUCUCCUUUACACCCAGCCCCGGGGGUCCCUUGUUCUGCUUGGUCAGCCCCUGGUUGUGCUGCUUCUUCGGUCGGUGCUGCUCCUUUACACCCGGCCCUGGGGGUCCCUUGUUCUGCUUGGUCAGCCCCUGGUUGUGCUGCUUCUUCGGUCCCUGCACCCUGCUCCCCUUGUCCAGGGGUCUCUGGGACCCCAACCUCACCCUGGGGUGCCUCUUUCUGCGGUGUCGCCCCGUUGCCUACCUCCCUGCUCUCCUGCCCCUCGCUGGCCCGUGGCCCCCGGGGCGGCUGGAAGAGACCUUGGUAG